Molecule: transfer RNA, 74 nt
Filed under: Buchnera aphidicola (Hormaphis cornu)
Lineage: Bacteria; Pseudomonadati; Pseudomonadota; Gammaproteobacteria; Enterobacterales; Erwiniaceae
Description: tRNA-Arg
Rfam family: tRNA
About the family: Transfer RNA (tRNA) molecules are approximately 80 nucleotides in length. Their secondary structure includes four short double-helical elements and three loops (D, anti-codon, and T loops).
Source: RNAcentral
GCACUCUUAGCUCAAUAGGAUAGAGCAACGGCCUUCUAAGCCGUAGGUUACAAGUUCAAAUCUUGUAGAGUGCA